AGGAUUAUAAUUUAAAAAAAUAAUUAAAUUGCAAUUAAUUUUUAUUGAACAAACUCAAUUAAUCUUA
RNAcentral lists this transfer RNA (67 nucleotides) under Hydromanicus wulaianus. RNAcentral describes it as "tRNA-Ala". The record is from RNAcentral. Lineage: Eukaryota; Metazoa; Arthropoda; Insecta; Trichoptera; Hydropsychidae.